GAUCUGGCUCAGGACGAACGCUGGCGGCGUGCUUAACACAUGCAAGUCGAACGAAGAGCGAUGGAAGCUUGCUUCUAUCAAUCUUAGUGGCGAACGGGUGAGUAACGCGUAAUCAACCUGCCCUUCAGAGGGGGACAACAGUUGGAAACGACUGCUAAUACCGCAUACGAUCCAAUCUCGGCAUCGAGACUGGAUGAAAGGUGGCCUCUAUUUAUAAGCUAUCACUGAAGGAGGGG
Molecule: ribosomal RNA, 236 nt
Filed under: uncultured bacterium
Lineage: Bacteria
Description: partial 16S ribosomal RNA
Rfam family: Bacterial small subunit ribosomal RNA
Source: RNAcentral